AGCCGUGACUACGAGGACUCUGUGGAGCAGCAGGGGAGGGGGCGUGUCCAGGAGGACACUCGCCGUCGCCAGGAGCAACUUUCGCCUCAACCCCUCCCGCCGACUCCCCACAGGCCCCUCCCACUCAACAGGCCACACCCUCGGCCGCAGCAGAACGCCAUGGACCAGCAGAGGGAGCUGGCGAGACGCCGCGAGCAGGAAAGGAGGAGGAGAGAGGUGGUAAUACUUUAUAGCAGUAAUACUACUAUAAUACUAACAUGUUAUACUAGUAUAGCAGGAGAGAGGUGGUAAUACUUUAUAGCAGUAAUACUACUAUAAUACUAACAUGUUAUACUAGUAUAGUAGGAGAGAGGCGGUAAUACUUUAUAGCAGUAAUACUACUAUAAUACUAACAUGUUAUACUAGUAUAGCAGGAGAGAGGCGGUAAUACUUUAUAGCAGUAAUACUACUAUAAUACUAACAUGUUAUACUAGUAUAGCAGGAGAGAGGUGGUAAUACUUUAUAGCAGUAAUACUACUAUAAUACUAACAUGUUAUACUAGUAUAGCAGGAGAGAGGUGGUAAUACUUUAUAGCAGUAAUACUACUAUAAUACUAACAUGUUAUACUAGUAUAGCAGGAGAGAGGUGGUAAUACUUUAUAGCAGUAAUACUACUAUAAUACUAACAUGUUAUACUAGUAUAGCAGGAGAGAGGCGGUAAUACUUUAUAGCAGUAAUACUACUAUAAUACUAACAUGUUAUACUAGUAUAGUAGGAGAGAG
Molecule: long non-coding RNA, 760 nt
Filed under: Salmo salar (Atlantic salmon)
Lineage: Eukaryota; Metazoa; Chordata; Actinopteri; Salmoniformes; Salmonidae
Description: lncRNA (ENSSSAG00000112395.1)
Source: RNAcentral